GGAUGUGAGGGUGAUCUGGCUGCAACAUCUGUCACCCCACUGAUUGCCAGGGUUGAUUCAGCUGAUCUAGCUGGCUAGGCAGGUGUCCCCAUCCUCCCUCACUCCAAGUGUGUCUGCUGUGUGCUUGGUCGAAGAGGACAACCUUCUCCAAAUAGAGGAGGACCGGUCUUCAGUCAAGGGUAUAGGAGUAGCUGCGCUCCCCUGCUAGAACCUCCAAACAAGCUCUCAAAUACAUCAGUGUAGCAGAAAGUUUCCAUUUUAAAUGCAUCCAGUCUUUUUAUACCUUAUAUUAAUU
RNAcentral lists this small nuclear RNA (295 nucleotides) under Jaculus jaculus (lesser Egyptian jerboa). RNAcentral describes it as "7SK RNA (ENSJJAG00000002267.1)". It matches the Rfam family "7SK RNA". Rfam says of the family: 7SK was discovered as an abundant small nuclear RNA in the mid-70s but a possible function has only recently been suggested. Two independent studies have found that 7SK RNA binds the CDK9/cyclin T complex (known as elongation factor P-TEFb). Lineage: Eukaryota; Metazoa; Chordata; Mammalia; Rodentia; Dipodidae. The record is from Rfam by way of RNAcentral.